Musa acuminata AAA Group (dessert banana) is the source of this 281-nucleotide long non-coding RNA. RefSeq lists it as uncharacterized. The transcript has 2 exons. Lineage: Eukaryota; Viridiplantae; Streptophyta; Magnoliopsida; Zingiberales; Musaceae. The record is from RefSeq and is a predicted model, not a curated record.
AUUUAUAUCUGUGGAGAGACUACUUCAGUAUACAAGCAUUCCAUGUGAACCACCACUCAUCCUAAAUGAGAACAGACCUCAACGUAGCUGGCCUUCAAGGGGGGAAAUAAAACAUUCUGAACUUGCAGGUUCGUUACAGCCUGCACAUGCCUCUUGUGUUAAGGGGUCUCACUUGCAGAUUUCCCGGAGGAAGAAGACCGGGAUUGUCAGCAGGACAGGCAGUGGGAAACCCACCCUGAUACAAACAAUCUUUCGUAUAAUCGAUCCUACUGUCGCUCACA